This 2856-nucleotide ribosomal RNA is filed under the name Trichinella pseudospiralis. RNAcentral describes it as "eukaryotic LSU rRNA". It matches the Rfam family "Eukaryotic large subunit ribosomal RNA", at positions 628 to 2598 of the family's 3401-position model. Lineage: Eukaryota; Metazoa; Nematoda; Enoplea; Trichinellida; Trichinellidae. The record is from RNAcentral.
AAUGUUAGCCUCCCAUCCGACCCGUCUUGAAACACGGACCAAGGAGUUCAGUAGGCACGCGAGUCGUUGACGUUUUUCAUUGAACAGUCGAAGGCGAAAUGAAAGUGUUCAUGAAAAUGAACAGUACUUUUCUAUGGAGUGCUGCUCGUUUUCAACAUGAUCGUCCUUUUUUGUGCUUAAUUGUGCAAAAUUGAUAGAUGGGGACGCGCAGUGUGGUGCCGUUGAAUAGUCGCACUGUUCUUUCUUUCUCUUCGGGGUUGGAGGAACAAUUGUCGAUCAGUCGGUUUCGGAGCGUGCACACUGGUACCCGAAAGAUGGUGAACUAUGCUUGAGCAGAAUGAAGCCAGAGGAAACUCUGGUGGAAGUUCGUAGCGGUGUUGACGUGCAAAUCACUCGUCUGACUUGAGUGUAGGGGCGAAAGACUAAUCGAACCAUCUAGUUGCUGGUUCCUUCCGAAGUUUCCCUCAGGAUAGCUGGCAUUUGUGUGUAACAAUUUUAUCCGGUAGAGCGAAUGAUUAGAGGUGUUGGGAACGCAAUGUUCUCAGCCUAUUCUCAAACUUCGAAUGGGUAAGCAAGGCGUUUUGCUUUGAUUUUACGAUGAAAUCGCCCAAUUAGAAUGCAUAAAUGCCUAGUGGGCCAAUUUUGGUAAGCAGAACUGGCGAUGUGGAAUGAACCAAAAGUCAGGUUAAGGUGCCAGACAUUGGCGCUCAUGAAAUACCAGAAAAGGUGUUGGUCGAUAUAGACAGCAGGACGGUGGCCAUGGAAGUUGGAAUCCGCCAAGGAGUGUGUAACAACUCACCUGCCGAAUCGACUAGCCCUGAAAAUGGAUAGCGUUUGAGCGCCAGGCCCAUACCUGACCGUCUCAGUUACGCACUUUUGUUGUUUCAAUGAUGAAGGUGUAAUGAACGUUGAGACGGGUAGGAAGGUCGCGACAGUGUUGCUUUGAAGAGUUUUGAGCGUGAGCUCGCUCGGAGCCGCUGUUGGUGCAGAUCUUGGUGGUAGUAGCAAAUAUUCAAGUGAGAACCUUGAAGGCUGAAGUGGAGCAAGGUUCCAUGUGAACAGCAGUUGGACAUGGGUCAGUCGAUCCUAAGAAAACGGCGAAAGCUUGUUCGAAUUUACGACAUAAAAAAUGUAAAACUGUGUGUGUGUAGUGUGCUUGUGUGUGUACUAUACUGAUAUAGCAGUAGUGGUGGUGGUGGUUUGUCAGUCAGCAGUGUAGUGUUUGUCUGUGGCAGUGCUGCUGCUGCUGCUGCUGCUGCUGCUGCUAUUGUUUACUUGCUGUUGUUGUGUGUUGUUGUACACACACACCCACACAAUUCUGUGUGCAGUUGUCGUAUGUUUUCGAAAGGGAAUCCGGUUGAUAUUCCGGAACCGAGUAACGGAGACAAAGAGUAGCGCUUUAAUCUUCCGGUUGGCGUUCAACUCAAUCGCGCGGUAACGCAAGCGAACUCGGAAAAUGACCGUCGUGAGUUUCGAAAAGAGUUUUCUUUUCUUUUUAAGGGACGCAUUCCCUGGAACCGGGUUGUCCGGAGAUAGGGAUUCUGGUAUCCAUAAAACGCCGACUCUUUCACGGUGUUCGGAGCGCUCUCGUCGGUACGUGAAAAUCCGAGCGACGCCUGGUAAAUCUCGUACUUGGUCGUACUGAUAUCCGCAGCAGGUCUCCAAGGUGAAUAGCCUCUGGCCGAUAGAAUAAUGUAGGUAAGGGAAGUCGGCAAAACGGAUCCGUAACUUCGGAACAAGGAUUGGCUCUAAGGGCUGGGCCGAUCGGGCUGAGGUUUCAAGCGUGCAGUGUAUGCUUGGCUGAGCUGUGCUGAGGAUUGAUUAGCUUGGUGCCGUUUGUUGACCCAAGCGGCUGUCCAGGUGGUCAUGUCUGAAGCAAAGCUGGCCGACAGACCGGCACGUGCAGAACCUGAGCUGCGCGGCUGUCAGUUUAUUUGUACAGACCGUUUCGGUCGGCAUUCAACAGCCAACUUAGAACUGGCACGGACACAAGGAAUCUGACUGUAUAAUUAAAACAAAGCAUUGCGAUGGCCGAUGAUCGGUGUUGACGCAAUGUGAUUUCUGCCCAGUGCUCUGAAUGUCAAAGUGAAGAAAUUCAACCAAGCGCGGGUAAACGGCGGGAGUAACUAUGACUCUCUUAAGGUAGCCAAAUGCCUCGUCAUCUAAUUAGUGACGCGUAUGAAUGGAUCAACAAGAUUCCUUCUGUCCCUAUCUACUAUCUAGCGAAACCACAGCCAAGGGAACGGGCUUGGCAAAAUCAGCGGGGAAAGAAGACCCUGUUGAGCUUGACUCUAGUCUGACUCUGUGAAGAGACAUGAAAGGUGUAGCAUAGGUGGGAGGCUGCAGCCGGGCACUGCUUGCGCGGUGUCUCUGUGGUCGCCAAUGAAAUACCACUACUUUGACAUAGCGUGUUCGAGGAAAACCUUUUGAAAAGCACGUUCAUUGCUUGACUUGUUGUUUAUUAUUAAAUUAACAUGGCUGAGGAUGUGGCUGGCAAAUUCAAAGAGGCCGGUAUUGUACCGGAUGUUUUGGACAAGGCACCGACUGAGAAAUUGGAAGUAUUGUUUCCAGGAAAGCCGGCCGUUAGCCUUGGCGAUAUAUUUCACACUCUAGAUGUACGUCAUGCUCCGAAAGUUAGCUAUCCAGGAAAAGAAGGCCAUUAUUACUCUUUGAUCAUGAUAGAUCCUGAUAAUUUGAGCCGUGAAAAUCCAUGUCAAGCAGAAUGGAUUCAGUGGAUGGUUUUAAAUAUACCGUACGAUGCAAUUUCUGCCGGAAUGAUGUCACGUCAUCUUGUUGGUUAUAUGAUACCUGGUCCUCAACCAAGAACUGGCUUGCAUCGUUUUGUGUUUUUGUUGU